Molecule: ribosomal RNA, 490 nt
Filed under: uncultured bacterium
Lineage: Bacteria
Description: partial 16S ribosomal RNA
Rfam family: Bacterial small subunit ribosomal RNA
Source: RNAcentral
AUUGAACGCUGGCGGCAGGCCUAACACAUGCAAGUCGAACGGUAACAGAAAGCAGCUUGCUGCUUUGCUGACGAGUGGCGGACGGGUGAGUAAUGUCUUGUAAACUGCCUGAUGGAGGGGGAUAACUACUGGAAACGGUAGCUAAUACCGCAUAACGUCGCAAGACCAAAGAGGGGGACCUUCGUGCCUCUUGCCAUCGGAUGUGCCCAGAUGGGUUUAGCUAGUAGGUGGGGUAAAGGCUCACCUAGGCGACGAUCCCUAGCUGGUGUGAGAGGAUGACCAGCGACACUGGAACUGAGACACGGUCCAGAGUCCUACGGGAGGCAGCAGUGGGGAAUAUUGCACAAUGGGCGCAAGACUGAUGCAGCCAUGCCGCGUGUAUGCAGAAGGCCUUCGGGUUGUAAAGUACUUUCAGCGGGGAGGAAGGGAGUAAAGUUAAUACCUGUGCUCAUUGACGUUACCCGCAGAAGAAGCACCGGCUAACUCCGUG